UUUAGUGGUCAUAGCGAGGAAAAAAAACGCUCCAUCCCAUCCCGAACUGGAAAGCAAACGUCCUCAGCGGUGAUGAUACUAUGUCUGAAGACAUUGGAAAGUAAACACGCUACCAGGC
This 118-nucleotide ribosomal RNA is filed under the name Anaeromyces robustus. The record is from RNAcentral. Lineage: Eukaryota; Fungi; Neocallimastigomycota; Neocallimastigomycetes; Neocallimastigales; Neocallimastigaceae.